GACAGAGGGUGCAAACGUUGUUCGGAAUUACUGGGCGUAAAGCGCGUGUAGGCGGCUUGGCAAGUCGGGUGUGAAAGCCCCGGGCUCAACCUGGGAAGUGCACUCGAAACUGCUUGGCUUGAGUACUGGAGAGGGAAGCGGAAUUCUCGGUGUAGAGGUGAAAUUCGUAGAUAUCGAGAGGAACACCGGUGGCGAAGGCGGCUUCCUGGACAGUUACUGACGCUGAGACGCGAAGGCGUGGGGAGCAAACAGG
RNAcentral lists this ribosomal RNA (253 nucleotides) under uncultured bacterium. RNAcentral describes it as "partial 16S ribosomal RNA". It matches the Rfam family "Bacterial small subunit ribosomal RNA", at positions 524 to 776 of the family's 1533-position model. The record is from RNAcentral.